Molecule: non-coding RNA, 25 nt
Filed under: Mus musculus (house mouse)
Lineage: Eukaryota; Metazoa; Chordata; Mammalia; Rodentia; Muridae
Source: RNAcentral
UUCACGUAGUGGCUCGCCUGGGUUC